This 203-nucleotide long non-coding RNA is filed under the name Manihot esculenta (cassava). RNAcentral's name for it is "long non-coding RNA (MESC_LNC000190)". The record is from RNAcentral. Lineage: Eukaryota; Viridiplantae; Streptophyta; Magnoliopsida; Malpighiales; Euphorbiaceae.
UAGGAUAUUUUCAUGUUUUAAGUUAACAAGAACCGAGUUUUUGAAAGAAAAGAACCAAGGCAGAAAAGCCAGGUUCGGCCGCCGAACAUGCAUGGCUUUCGGUUUCACGAUAGGCCGCCGAAGGUGGUCUGGCCAGCCACCUAUAAAAGGCCCUCAGUCAGUUGAACGGAUAAGUACUGCCGUUUCUUUCACUUUCUGAGGUG